AUUGAACGCUGGCGCCAUGCCUUACACAUGCAAGUCGAACGGCAGCACGGGUGCUUGCACCUGGUGGCGAGUGGCGAACGGGUGAGUAAUACAUCGGAACAUGUCCUGUAGUGGGGGAUAGCCCGGCGAAAGCCGGAUUAAUACCGCAUACGAUCUACGGAUGAAAGCGGGGGACCUUCGGGCCUCGCGCUAUAGGGUUGGCCGAUGGCUGAUUAGCUAGUUGGUGGGGUAAAGGCCUACCAAGGCGACGAUCAGUAGCUGGUCUGAGAGGACGACCAGUCACACUGGGACUGAGACACGGCCCAGACUCCUACGGGAGGCAGCAGUGGGGAAUUUUGGACAAUGGGCGAAAGCCUGAUCCAGCAAUGCCGCGUGUGUGAAGAAGGCCUUCGGGUUGUAAAGCACUUUUGUCCGGAAAGAAAUCCUUGGCCCUAAUACGGUCGGGGGAUGACGGUACCGGAAGAAUAAGCACCGGCUAACUACGUG
RNAcentral lists this ribosomal RNA (486 nucleotides) under uncultured bacterium. RNAcentral's name for it is "partial 16S ribosomal RNA". It matches the Rfam family "Bacterial small subunit ribosomal RNA", at positions 30 to 507 of the family's 1533-position model. The record is from RNAcentral.